UCCUGGAGCUCUGUGGUGUGUGUUGUGUUAAUGUGUGUGUUGUCCUGUCCUGUAGCUGGUCUCUUGUGGCCUGUUGGAGACUCUGAAGUUUAGUGUGCUGGAGUUACAGGAACACCUGGACACCUACAACGCCAAGAGGGAGGCAGCCGAGCAGUGGCUGGAGAACUGCAAGAAAACCUUUGGAGACAAAGAGAGCAACCAGAGAGCCGACACUCACACACAGGAGCUGGAGUUGUGUCGCCGGCUCUAUAAGCUCCACUUCCAGCUGCUGCUGCUGUUCCAGGCGUACUGCAAGCUGAUCAGCAGAGUGGACACAAUCAAGGGGGAGGCGGAGGUGAGACACCAGAUAUCAUUCAUACGUC
This is a long non-coding RNA of Notothenia coriiceps (black rockcod), 362 nucleotides long. RefSeq lists it as uncharacterized. The record is from RefSeq and is a predicted model, not a curated record. Lineage: Eukaryota; Metazoa; Chordata; Actinopteri; Perciformes; Nototheniidae. The transcript is spliced from 3 exons.